RNAcentral lists this small nucleolar RNA (107 nucleotides) under Theobroma cacao (cacao). RNAcentral describes it as "Plant small nucleolar RNA R71". It matches the Rfam family "Plant small nucleolar RNA R71". Rfam says of the family: R71 is a member of the C/D box family of snoRNAs containing the C (UGAUGA) and D (CUGA) box motifs. Multiple nearly identical copies of this snoRNA have been identified in Arabidopsis, and it is thought to function as a 2'-O-ribose methylation guide for 18S ribosomal RNA. The record is from Rfam by way of RNAcentral. Lineage: Eukaryota; Viridiplantae; Streptophyta; Magnoliopsida; Malvales; Malvaceae.
AAACCAUGGUGUGGACAUUUUUGAAGCAAGUCCUUAUACCUCUCCCAUGCUUCAUACAAUGACUCAAAGUCCAAUUGUGUGAAAGAAAUGAUAUCAUUCCUCAUCUU